This 123-nucleotide antisense RNA is filed under the name Escherichia coli. RNAcentral describes it as "sok". The stretch from base 1 to 95 matches the Rfam family "sok antitoxin (CssrC)". From Rfam's summary of the family: Also identified in Shigella as CssrC. The record is from RNAcentral. Lineage: Bacteria; Pseudomonadati; Pseudomonadota; Gammaproteobacteria; Enterobacterales; Enterobacteriaceae.
GGGUGCUUGAGGCUGUUUGUCUCAGGUAUUCACCGAAAGGCAGACAGAGAAAAGCCCCACCUGACUAUAAAUCAAAGUGUACUGACCCCAAAAAGUUGGACAGUUAAACACGAGGCAUAUAGG